This is a non-coding RNA of Plutella xylostella (diamondback moth), 347 nucleotides long. Lineage: Eukaryota; Metazoa; Arthropoda; Insecta; Lepidoptera; Plutellidae. The record is from RefSeq and is a predicted model, not a curated record.
GCGACGCCAUCACCGCACCGCCAUAUUGAAUUUUCCGCCGAAAAGUUUGCCGCUAUUUUUUUUAAGUAUUUUUGUUAAGUCUUUACAAUACAAAACAAACAUCUAUUACUUAUAAAUUAUUAUGUUUGUGUUUGCAAUAUGCAAUUGUUAAAUCGAUAAGGUGCUUGUGUGCAUGUUUACGAUUUAUUUUAGGAAGUUACCUACGUAAAAUCUAAGGAAAUAUUUUUAUCAGUUGGGCAUCUGGUUAUUAACUAUCUGGUUACUUAUGUUUGUGUUCUAGUGUUUUCGUUUCUAUUAUUUAAAGUUUUGUGUAAAUAGUGACAACAACAAAGAAAAUGAAAAAUCAA